This 241-nucleotide long non-coding RNA is filed under the name Gossypium barbadense (sea-island cotton). RNAcentral describes it as "long non-coding RNA (GBAR_LNC021656)". Lineage: Eukaryota; Viridiplantae; Streptophyta; Magnoliopsida; Malvales; Malvaceae. The record is from RNAcentral.
AGCAUAUGUCAGAUUAAUGAAAUGUGAUGUAUCAAUGAUAGUAAAGAGGGGUGUUGGAUAGUUGAAGAAGUUGAAAUAAGUGAUAUAUUACGAGUUAUUAACCCAGAGCAUAGACUAAAUUGUAAAUUUGUGAAAAGUGAAUGGCUAAAUUGUAAAAAUUCAAAAGUUGAAGAGUUGAAUUAAAAACUUGAAAACUUGAACGACCAAAAUUGCAAUUUUACCAAUAGUAAGAAUGGCACUG